GAGUCAUUAAAUCUCAAGGAUAUCUAUUUGGUCAUGUUUUCUUGUGGUAUUUCAAGGCUACUGGUGACUUCUUCAACAGUUGAGAAACUGAACUAUGUGUUCAUGAAAAUACUCCAUCAUUAAAGUUUAUGAUCUUGUCCAUCAUUCUUAACAAUUUGACAGCGUGUCCAGAACAUUGCGCCUAAAUGAAUCUAACAAGAGGUAAGUUGAACAUAAUAUUGGUAUUUGAAAGUCUUCAAUAGAAUUAGGCCCUUAAUUUAGCUUUUUCUAAGACUUUAAACAUUCAAAUGUUUCUUCUGCUUAUACUUAAAUAGUCUUUAAGGCAACUUAUUUGUUCCCUGAACAAACUUCAGUUGCUUAAAAAAAAAAAA
Homo sapiens (human) is the source of this 371-nucleotide long non-coding RNA. Lineage: Eukaryota; Metazoa; Chordata; Mammalia; Primates; Hominidae. The record is from Ensembl.